CAGUCGCCGCGGUAAUACGAAGGGGGCUAGCGUUGUUCGGAAUUACUGGGCGUAAAGCGCACGUAGGCGGAUAUUUAAGUCAGGGGUGAAAUCCCGCAGCUCAACUGCGGAACUGCCUUUGAUACUGGGUAUCUUGAGUAUGGAAGAGGUUAGUGGAAUUGCGAGUGUAGAGGUGAAAUUCGUAGAUAUUCGCAGGAACACCAGUGGCGAAGGCGGCUAACUGGUCCAUAACUGACGCUGAGGUGCGAAAGCGUGGGGAGCAAACAGGAUUAGAGACCCCGGUAGUCCCUGUCUCUUAUAC
RNAcentral lists this ribosomal RNA (301 nucleotides) under uncultured bacterium. RNAcentral describes it as "partial 16S ribosomal RNA". It matches the Rfam family "Bacterial small subunit ribosomal RNA", at positions 509 to 807 of the family's 1533-position model. The record is from RNAcentral.